CACAGUGUUGAAUAGAACUUUGACUAGUCACUAAAGAAAAAUAGACAACAAGUCUAUUUUUCUUUAGUGACUAGUCAAACUUCUAUUCAACACUGUGCAC
RNAcentral lists this microRNA precursor (100 nucleotides) under Stegodyphus mimosarum. RNAcentral describes it as "microRNA mir-286". It matches the Rfam family "mir-286 microRNA precursor family". Lineage: Eukaryota; Metazoa; Arthropoda; Arachnida; Araneae; Eresidae. The record is from RNAcentral.